AUAAAUUAGGUAUACGUUAUCAAAACUUGUACAAUAGUAUAGUUAAAAUAUCAUAUUUUGUUCGAUUUUGUUCAUUAUUUAAUUAUCUAGCUAGCAACUAGCAACCACCCGCGGUUUCGCUCCCGUACAAAUUUUGAAAAAUCUGGCUUUGUUACUUAUCUACGAAGCAUCUACUUACUUAUAUACGAAGUUACUUAUAUAUGAAACAUCCCUGUGCAAAAUUUUAGCUUUCUAGGUCCAACCAUUUUGGCUAGGUGUUGAUGAGUCAGUUAGUGAGUGAGUCAGAACUUUUCUUUUUUAUAUUACUAUAUGCAAUAGGUAAGUGUUGCUAGUGUCUUAUAUUUCGAAAUGUCUUAUAUUUCGAGUUUCAUAUCAACCCACUGAUUCAAUGCAAAGAUUAGGUCUUAAUAUUUUUUAUAAAAUCCUAAUAUGUACUUUUUUUGCUAAAAACGCACAUAUAACUCCGAAAAGUUAUAAGUGCAUGCCUGACAUUAAGUCCCCAAAUAGGAAGCCUACUACUUUGCUAUGACUGCUUUGUUAUUAGCAAUUUAAUA
Long non-coding RNA from Maniola jurtina (meadow brown), 554 nucleotides. RefSeq lists it as uncharacterized. Lineage: Eukaryota; Metazoa; Arthropoda; Insecta; Lepidoptera; Nymphalidae. The transcript has 3 exons. The record is from RefSeq and is a predicted model, not a curated record.